This is a ribosomal RNA of Massilia sp. Root351, 94 nucleotides long. It matches the Rfam family "Bacterial large subunit ribosomal RNA", at positions 2832 to 2925 of the family's 2925-position model. The record is from Rfam. NCBI's taxonomy places the organism in Bacteria, Pseudomonadati, Pseudomonadota, Betaproteobacteria, Burkholderiales, Oxalobacteraceae.
GGGUCGUUCGAGACCAGGACGUUGAUAGGCUGGGUGUGGAAGUGCAGUAAUGCAUUAAGCUAACCAGUACUAAUUGCCCGUAAGGCUUGUCCCU